GGUGGUGGUGCAUGGCCGUUCUUAGUUGGUGGAGUGAUUUGUCUGGUUAAUUCCGUUAACGAACGAGACCCCCGCCUGCUAAAUAGUGGGGCCUACGCUUCCGCGUAGGCGCUCGCUUCUUAGAGGGACUCUCGGUGACUAACCGAGGGAAGUUGGGGGCAAUAACAGGUCUGUGAUGCCCUUCGAUGUCCUGGGCCGCACGCGCGCUACACUGAUGCAUGCAACGAGUCCACAACCUUGGUCGAGAGGCCCGGGUAACCUUUGGAACGUGCAUCGUGAUAGGGAUAGAUUAUUGCAAUUAUUAAUCUUGAACGAGGAAUGCCUAGUAAACGCGAGUCAUCAGCUCGCAUUGAUUACGUCCCUGCCCUUUGUACACACCGCCCGUCGCACCUACCGAUUGAAUGAUUCGGUGAAGAUUCCGGACAACGGCUCAGCCCCUUUAUUGUGGCCGUGCUGUCGGAAGUUAUCUAAACCUCAUCAUUUAGAGGAAGGUGAAGUCGUAACAAGGUUUCCGUAGGUGAAC
Molecule: ribosomal RNA, 523 nt
Filed under: Schizocladia ischiensis
Lineage: Eukaryota; Schizocladiophyceae; Schizocladiales; Schizocladiaceae
Description: SSU rRNA
Rfam family: Eukaryotic small subunit ribosomal RNA
Source: RNAcentral